This 887-nucleotide ribosomal RNA is filed under the name Trichoderma paraviridescens. RNAcentral describes it as "partial large subunit ribosomal RNA". It matches the Rfam family "Eukaryotic large subunit ribosomal RNA", at positions 37 to 954 of the family's 3401-position model. The record is from RNAcentral. Lineage: Eukaryota; Fungi; Ascomycota; Sordariomycetes; Hypocreales; Hypocreaceae.
AGCAUAUCAAUAAGCGGAGGAAAAGAAACCAACAGGGAUUGCCCCAGUAACGGCGAGUGAAGCGGCAACAGCUCAAAUUUGAAAUCUGGCCCCUAGGGUCCGAGUUGUAAUUUGUAGAGGAUGCUUUUGGUGAGGUGCCGCCCGAGUUCCCUGGAACGGGACGCCGCAGAGGGUGAGAGCCCCGUCUGGCUGGCCACCGAGCCUCUGUAAAGCUCCUUCGACGAGUCGAGUAGUUUGGGAAUGCUGCUCAAAAUGGGAGGUAUAUGUCUUCUAAAGCUAAAUAUUGGCCAGAGACCGAUAGCGCACAAGUAGAGUGAUCGAAAGAUGAAAAGCACCUUGAAAAGAGGGUUAAACAGUACGUGAAAUUGUUGAAAGGGAAGCGCUUGUGACCAGACUUGGGCGCGGCGGAUCAUCCGGGGUUCUCCCCGGUGCACUUCGCCGCGUUCAGGCCAGCAUCAGUUCGGCGCGGGGGAAAAAGGCUUCGGGAACGUGGCUCCUCCGGGAGUGUUAUAGCCCGUUGCAUAAUACCCUGCGCUGGACUGAGGACCGCGCAUCUGCAAGGAUGCUGGCGUAAUGGUCACCAGCGACCCGUCUUGAAACACGGACCAAGGAGUCGUCUUCGUAUGCGAGUGUUCGGGUGUCAAACCCCUACGCGUAAUGAAAGUGAACGCAGGUGAGAGCUUCGGCGCAUCAUCGACCGAUCCUGAUGUUCUCGGAUGGAUUUGAGUAAGAGCAUACGGGGCCGGACCCGAAAGAAGGUGAACUAUGCCUGUAUAGGGUGAAGCCAGAGGAAACUCUGGUGGAGGCUCGCAGCGGUUCUGACGUGCAAAUCGAUCGUCAAAUAUGGGCAUGGGGGCGAAAGACUAAUCGAACCUUCUAGUAGCUGG